GGCUUUAUAGUCAAUAAUGACGUUAGACUGCAAAUCUGAAGGAGUAAAUUACUAAGGCUU
This 60-nucleotide transfer RNA is filed under the name Limnia unguicornis. Its description in RNAcentral is "tRNA-Cys". The record is from RNAcentral. Lineage: Eukaryota; Metazoa; Arthropoda; Insecta; Diptera; Sciomyzidae.